This 487-nucleotide long non-coding RNA is filed under the name Salvia miltiorrhiza (redroot sage). RNAcentral describes it as "long non-coding RNA (SMIL_LNC000096)". The record is from RNAcentral. Lineage: Eukaryota; Viridiplantae; Streptophyta; Magnoliopsida; Lamiales; Lamiaceae.
CCCAACUAUUUCUUUCGUUUCUUUUAUUUUUGCUCUUUCCUUCUAAAAAUUCAUCUUAUAUUAAAUAUUAUGAUAAAAAAAAUUAGUUAAUGUAUGAUUUGUAGAAUAAAGGAGUUUAAAAUAUAAGCGUAUGAUCGUUUAAAGUUUGAGAUUGAUUUAAACAUAUACUAUUUUUAAUUAUUUUAAAUUUUAUUUUUUAUUUCAAAUGUUAUUGCUUUGACUGAAUUUCUCGACACCCCCACCAUUUUCUCUUUUAUUUCCUAUUUUCUUAGUUUCGUUUUCUUUUUCUAUUUUCUUUUAGAUAUUUUAAGUUUCAUACAAGUUUUGGUAUAUUUUUUUCAUUUCUAUAUAAUUUUUUGAAUCAAUGUUUUUUUAGCUUUUUAAAUUAUGAAAGUAAUAAUUAUUACUUAUUUAUUUAUUAAAACUACAAAUUUAAGAUAAUUACAUUAAAUUUAGUUUAAUUCUAAAAUAUUGUAAAUAUAUAAUA